UACAGAGGUCCCAAGCGUUGUUCGGAUUCAUUGGGCGUAAAGGGUGCGUAGGUGGCGCUGUAAGUCGGGUGUGAAAUUUCGGAGCUUAACUCCGAAACUGCAUUCGAUACUGCGGUGCUUGAGGACUGGAGAGGAGACUGGAAUUCAUGGUGUAGCAGUGAAAUGCGUAGAGAUUAUGAGGAAGACCAGUGGCGAAGGCGGGUCUCUGGACAGUUCCUGACACUGAGGCACGAAGGCCAGGGGAGCAAACGGG
This 253-nucleotide ribosomal RNA is filed under the name uncultured bacterium. RNAcentral describes it as "partial 16S ribosomal RNA". It matches the Rfam family "Bacterial small subunit ribosomal RNA", at positions 524 to 776 of the family's 1533-position model. The record is from RNAcentral.